This 913-nucleotide ribosomal RNA is filed under the name Campylobacter hyointestinalis. RNAcentral describes it as "bacterial SSU rRNA". It matches the Rfam family "Bacterial small subunit ribosomal RNA", at positions 385 to 1313 of the family's 1533-position model. Lineage: Bacteria; Pseudomonadati; Campylobacterota; Epsilonproteobacteria; Campylobacterales; Campylobacteraceae. The record is from RNAcentral.
GAAGCAGCAACGCCGCGUGGAGGAUGACACUUUUCGGAGCGUAAACUCCUUUUCUUAGGGAAGAACAAUGACGGUACCUAAGGAAUAAGCACCGGCUAACUCCGUGCCAGCAGCCGCGGUAAUACGGAGGGUGCAAGCGUUACUCGGAAUCACUGGGCGUAAAGGACGCGUAGGCGGAUUAUCAAGUCUUUUGUGAAAUCUAAUGGCUUAACCAUUAAACUGCUUGAGAAACUGAUAAUCUAGAGUGAGGGAGAGGCAGAUGGAACUGGUGGUGUAGGGGUAAAAUCCGUAGAGAUCACCAAGAAUACCCAUUGCGAAGGCGAUCUGCUAGAACUCAACUGACGCUAAUGCGUGAAAGCGUGGGGAGCAAACAGGAUUAGAUACCCUGGUAGUCCACGCCCUAAACGAUGCAUACUAGUUGUUGCUCUGCUAGUCAGGGCAGUAAUUCAGCUAACGCAUUAAGUAUGCCGCCUGGGGAGUACGGUCGCAAGAUUAAAACUCAAAGGAAUAGACGGGGACCCGCACAAGCGGUGGAGCAUGUGGUUUAAUUCGAAGAUACGCGAAGAACCUUACCUGGGCUUGAUAUCCUAAGAACCUCUUAGAGAUAAGAGGGUGCUAGCUUGCUAGAACUUAGAGACAGGUGCUGCACGGCUGUCGUCAGCUCGUGUCGUGAGAUGUUCGGUUAAGUCCGGCAACGAGCGCAACCCACGUAUUUAGUUGCUAACAGUUUGGCUGAGCACUCUAAAUAUACUGCCUUCGUAAGGAGGAGGAAGGUGUGGACGACGUCAAGUCAUCAUGGCCCUUAUGCCCAGGGCGACACACGUGCUACAAUGGCAUAUACAAUGAGACGCAAUAUCGCGAGAUGGAGCAAAUCUAUAAAAUAUGUCCCAGUUCGGAUUGUUCUCUGCAACUC